GAUCAUGGCUCAGGAUAAACGCUGGCGGCGUGCUUAACACAUGCAAGUCGAACGAAGUUUUUCUUUCGGGAUAAACUUAGUGGCGGACGGGUGAGUAACGCGUGGGUAACCUGCCCUGUACAGGGGGACAACAGCUGGAAACGGCUGGCUAAUACCGCAUAAGCCCUUAGCACUGCAUGGUGCAUAGGGAAAAGGAGCAAUCCGGUACAGGAUGGACCCGCGUCUGAUUAGCCAGUUGGCAGGGUAACGG
Molecule: ribosomal RNA, 250 nt
Filed under: uncultured bacterium
Lineage: Bacteria
Description: partial 16S ribosomal RNA
Rfam family: Bacterial small subunit ribosomal RNA
Source: RNAcentral